RNAcentral lists this ribosomal RNA (890 nucleotides) under Candidatus Thiodiazotropha lotti. RNAcentral describes it as "bacterial SSU rRNA". It matches the Rfam family "Bacterial small subunit ribosomal RNA", at positions 1 to 881 of the family's 1533-position model. Lineage: Bacteria; Pseudomonadati; Pseudomonadota; Gammaproteobacteria; Chromatiales; Sedimenticolaceae. The record is from RNAcentral.
AAACUGAAGAGUUUGAUCCUGGCUCAGAUUGAACGCUGGCGGUAUGCUUAACACAUGCAAGUCGAACGGUAACAGCGAGAGCUUGCUCUCGGCUGACGAGUGGCGGACGGGUGAGUAACGCGUAGGAAUCUGCCUAGUAGUGGGGGACAACUCGGGGAAACUCGAGCUAAUACCGCAUACGCCCUACGGGGGAAAGCGGGGGAUCUUCGGACCUCGCGCUAUUAGAUGAGCCUGCGUUGGAUUAGCUUGUUGGUAGGGUAAUGGCCUACCAAGGCGACGAUCCAUAGCUGGUCUGAGAGGACGAUCAGCCACACUGGGACUGAGACACGGCCCAGACUCCUACGGGAGGCAGCAGUGGGGAAUAUUGGACAAUGGGGGCAACCCUGAUCCAGCAAUACCGCGUGUGUGAAGAAGGCCUGCGGGUUGUAAAGCACUUUCAAUUGUGAAGAAAAGCCUAGGGUUAAUAACCUUGGGUCUUGACGUUAACUUUAGAAGAAGCACCGGCUAACUCCGUGCCAGCAGCCGCGGUAAUACGGAGGGUGCAAGCGUUAAUCGGAAUUACUGGGCGUAAAGCGCGCGUAGGUGGUUAAGUAAGUCAGAUGUGAAAGCCCUGGGCUCAACCUGGGAACUGCAUUUGAAACUGCUUGGCUAGAGUAUGGUAGAGGGAAGCGGAAUUCCGGGUGUAGCGGUGAAAUGCGUAGAUAUCCGGAGGAACAUCAGUGGCGAAGGCGGCUUCCUGGACCAAUACUGACACUGAGGUGCGAAAGCGUGGGUAGCAAACAGGAUUAGAUACCCUGGUAGUCCACGCCGUAAACGAUGUCAACUAGCCGUUGGACUCAUUUAAGGGUUUAGUGGCGCAGCUAACGCGAUAAGUUGACCGCCUGGGGAGU